Molecule: long non-coding RNA, 705 nt
Organism: Cyprinus carpio carpio
Lineage: Eukaryota; Metazoa; Chordata; Actinopteri; Cypriniformes; Cyprinidae
Source: Ensembl
UUUACAUAGACAACAUGAAGGGCAAUUUACUCUAAGGCUGCCUGUUUUCUGUGUUGUAUCAGGUGCUGGAUUGGUGUCAGCGUCGCUUGCGGGUGAAUAUAGCGUUGAUGGACGGCGGUGAAACCCUCUAUCAUUUUUUACACAUCACUUUAACAACUGAAGGCAUGCUCUUUCACUGCCACACAGGAGACAUGGCAGAGAAUAGAAAGAAAGAGAAAGAAGGGAAAGAGCUUUCAAAAGAGAAAUGGGAUCCCUGCGCUUGACAAAGGGAGUUCGCUUAAAGGUAUCAUUAUUCCUAGAGAAAGAAGCGAGUCUCCAAGAGCAGAUGAGACUUUAGCGUCGCAGCCUGAGGCCAAACGCAUAAAAAAAGACCACAAGAAGGUGUAGAAGGGCCGGAUCGGGACACAUGUCCCAGCUGGGCUGCCUUUGCUCAGCCGUGCUUUGGUGUCUCAUCCGAUUUGCACGCGGCUCCGUAACGCCAUUGUACUAUACGUGGGCGAGAAGAUGAAAGAUUUGAGAGAAAUGAUGAUAAUUCCAGGCAUUUUGAAGGUAGUUAGAGAUGCUUUAUGAUACUGAUGGAUCGCUUUGCUAUAAAGGUGAAGAUAAAGCUUAUCAAAUGGCCUCUGCUUUAGUCACACUUGUGUGGAGAGAGUUGUCGGUUUGUAUGGCCUGUCUGAUGUGGUGAAAAAUUAUAUAAUAUGCAAC